Molecule: non-coding RNA, 1437 nt
Organism: Caretta caretta (loggerhead turtle)
Lineage: Eukaryota; Metazoa; Chordata; Testudines; Cheloniidae
Source: RefSeq, a predicted model, not a curated record
CGGCCGCAAAGGGCGGGGGAGCCCGGGCUGGGUGCAGGCGGCGCCGCCUCGCCCCUGGGGGGCCCGGGCCAGCGCCGGCUCUGCCCGUAUCGCCGGGGAGGCUGAUGGGCCGGGGGUGCCCCGCGCUGUGAUGCUCUGCGCGGGGUCCCCCCAGGCACUGGGCACCCCCACGUGGGCCUUCCCCCGCCAGGGCUGGAGGGAGAAGAAGCGCUGCGGUGUGUCCCUGCUGCUCGCUCCCCUGGCUCUGGGGGUCUGAUAGGCUUGGGGCGCCCGGCGCUCCCUUCCCUGCGACUGGGAGUAAAGCGAGCGGCGCUGCCCUCUGCCCACCCCGCGGCUGCUGGGACGGAAGUGGGGUCGGGGGCUUCUUCUCCCUUGUCUGAGCAGCAGAUUUUUCCCUCCCAGUGGAACCGCAAGCAUUGGCAGUAAGGAUGGAGGUUUUUUUUUCCUUUAAAGGGCCAAUUUUGAAGAACAGUAAAAUUAACAAAGGAGGCUGAAAGCGACGGAAACAUGAGGAUUUCGAUAGAAAUGUACCAUCAUACAUACACUGUAUUGCCCUGACGAAUUCCAUAGGCUUAAAGCAGCAAGAGCGGUUCCACAGCUUUUGUUUGGGGUGUUUUGGGGCUUUUGUUACUGCCUUGCACUGUUAACAAAGCAAAGGGGGAAAAAAAGCAACAUAUUAUAAGUGCAUCUAUUGGGGAAACUGAGGCACAUAAAAUCCUCUAAGCCUUUAGUUAUUUUGCUAUGGCUUGUUUGGGCUUUUAUUAUGGAUGUUCUUUGCCUGGUUUAGGAGGUUGUAACAACAAUAUUUUGUUUAGGGAUUAGGGGUGGCUAUUGCUUGCCAAGGGGCCUUCCAUUUUGCCUUAGGCUUUUAUUUUGCUUCAGGCCACCACAGGGGGAACAGAGUUUGUCCCUCUGGGGAUGCAUGGAAGGUCCGGGGCCACCCACCAUGUAUUUCUCUGUGGCCCUAGGGUGUUUAUUUGGACUAUGCAUUGUUCCCAUGGCCCCUCCCCUCCAGCCUUGCGCCAUACUGUGGCUUGAGCCCCAUUGGUGGCUCGAACCAUGGAGAGCCUUUGGAAGUACUUUUUUGUUUGUUUUGUAAUUCAAAUAAUUCCAUGGAUAGAUGGAAAUCUGGAUGGUUCAGGCAGGUGGCUGGUUCACAACUGAGGCCCACGACGUUAUGAUUAGAAACCGAGAAAGAAGCAUAGGUUUUAAGCUGGUUGGCAUGUGCCCAUUUUAAUUUACUGGGUAGCUGCAGCUGGUAAACUACCAGAGAAAUGCAGUUUACCAUGGGGUACGGGCCCAUCCACUUAACAUUUAAGGUAUGGGCCGCUCUCCCCAGUUUUUGUAACAUUACCUUAUUUUUGACUUGCCACCCCCGGUCGUUUUUUUUUUUGAAGGUUUUUUUGCAUCUGGCCUUUGUUUGUUUGUUUGUUUAGA